GUGUCAGCAGCCGCGGUAAGACGAACCGUGCGAACGUUGUUCGGAUUCACUGGGCUUAAAGGGCGCGUAGGCGGCUCCUCAAGUCGGGGGUGAAAUCCUCUCGCUUAACGAGAGAAUUGCCUCCGAUACUGGGGAGCUGGAGGGGGAUAGGGGUGCGCGGAACUUCCGGUGGAGCGGUGAAAUGCGUAGAUAUCGGAAGGAACGCCGGUGGCGAAAGCGGCGCACUGGAUCCCCACUGACGCUGAGGCGCGAAAGCCAGGGGAGCAAACGGGAUUAGAUACCCCCGUAGUCC
RNAcentral lists this ribosomal RNA (292 nucleotides) under uncultured bacterium. RNAcentral's name for it is "partial 16S ribosomal RNA". It matches the Rfam family "Bacterial small subunit ribosomal RNA", at positions 505 to 796 of the family's 1533-position model. The record is from RNAcentral.